Chroicocephalus ridibundus (black-headed gull) is the source of this 9381-nucleotide long non-coding RNA. RefSeq lists it as uncharacterized. The record is from RefSeq and is a predicted model, not a curated record. The transcript has 11 exons. Lineage: Eukaryota; Metazoa; Chordata; Aves; Charadriiformes; Laridae.
CUAAUUCUCUGGUGCAAAGCUUCUCAUUCUGACACUUCUGCUAAGAUGUGGCUGGUCACUGGAUCCUGGAGAUGCAAAUGUCAGAGAAAGAUACAUGAGCUGUAGGUCCUGGAUGAGGAGGUGACAUUCAUGAUGCCCUUUCGAUCACAUGCCAAAGCAGCCAAACAGCUUCAGUUACAGAACAGACAGCACUGACAAAGGUUCUGCUCGCCAAUGCUUGCUAGUGACACUGGAAGCAGGCUGCACUUCCUCAUGAGAGCUGCUGUGCUGGUGAGGCUGCACUUGGGAGACAGGUAAGUCCCAGCUGCACCUCACUCCUCAGUUGCUGCUAAUGUGUUUCUCAUUCACUCCAUGCUGGUCUGCACCAAGGGAUCCCGCAGCCUGGAGUCAGCUGGGGUGACGCAGCGAACGCUUCAGACAGUCAGUGCUGCAACAGUGGGCGCAAUUGUGACACUUCAAUCAGAAGUUCCUCUGAUGAAUCCCACUAUAAGGAGGAGGUCCAGAAAUGAAUGCUUCCCACACUGCUUUAAGACUUUACAGUGACCUUCCCUGUUUCUCUGCUCUGGAUUGUCCCUUUCACAAAGGAUUCCUUUGCAUGCACCACAAAGACGGAUGUCUUGGCGUCAAACGGCUUGUUCUGGGCCGCAAUUCUCUCCUUUUCUGACUUUCGGAGGGCCUGGAUUCCACUGGGACUAGAAGCAAACCACAGCACAGUCAGAAGCAGCAGAGCGAGAGAAAUCUCUAUAUACAGAUGGUCCUUCACAGACAUACAGUGUGGGCGAAGUGCUGGCGUGAUGACACCCAGGCAUGCUUGAAAACAGAUCCCAUCCCACUUUCUCUAACAUCAGCGGAAGAGAUCUGGGCAAUAGAUUCUGUCCAAGGAGAUGACAUUCAGGAUGCCCUUUCUAUCACCCACCAAAGCAGCUGGGGGGCUCCUGUUACAGAGCAGAUUCUGCGCUUUUCAGCAAGGGCUUGAUCUUGAAGAAGAGCUUCAUCCAGGGCCAGUGCUUGACAUUCAUGAAUGCACGAAUGUUGUACUGGAUACAGAAAAUGGACUCUCUGAAAGGAAGCCCCUGCACCUGGCCUGUGUGCGGGUGAUGAUCUGUGCCAGCUUCUCAUCUCUCAUCUCUUCCAAGAGGCCUAUCAGCCCCGCUUUGAAGAACACCUUAGGGCUGGACUGCAGUAGGACCAGAAGCAAACCACAGCAUAGUUAGAAGAGAAGAGGUGGACUGAAACCCAUCUCUGGAUACAGACUGUCCUGCACAGCAAUGCGGUGUCGGCAAGGUGCACAUUCCCCAUGGAGGAGAAAGGAUUCAGUCAUGCUGAAAAUAGAUCCUUCUUGAGACAGAGAUCAGGCAGCUGCCUCCCUUUCUGCCAGCCCUUAAGAUGUGUAUUUUCUUUUCCUGAUCCUUGCGGUUAGCUGAGAGACAAGGAGUGAGAAGGCAUUUUUUAGCUGGGCAGCACAGCCAGACUGGAGAGGGGAGGUGCCUGCAGACUGCUGCGUGUUGGCUGGUGGGAACCUCCCUCUCAUACUUGUUCAGCUCAUGGAAACAUGAGAACAUACCUGUAUGGCAGGAGGGUUUGCAGCAGGAAAAGGAAUCUCUUACUGUAGUCCGGUGAUCCCCAGUCUUUCACACUGGGAGCUACGCUCAGACCCUCUGCUCCUAGAACAGACUGCCCUCCAAGAAGAAGGACUUUGGGGUUAUGGUGGAUAUGAAUAUGAGUGCUCUCACUGCAAACAGGACAAACUAAGUGGUGUUAGAAGCAUGGUCAGCGGAUUAUAGGAAGCUGUUAUCCCUUUUGCUUGACACUGGUGAGUCCUCACCUGAAACAGUUUGUCCAGUUUUAGGCUCCCCAGUUCAAAAGAGAUGUGAACUAAUGGGAGAAGGUCCAGCAGAAGGCUAGCAAGAUAGGCAAGGGUCUAGAAAACUUGUGCUAUGAAGAGAGUUUGAGGGCAUGUUUAGUUUGAGGAAAAAAGGGCUAAUUUACAUGAGUGGCUGUUACAAAGACAACGUGCCAAGCUUUUUUCAAGAGUAGCUGACAAUGUAACAAGGGGCAAUGACCACAAAUUAUUGCUUGAAAGUCUCCAGUUAGACAUUAAGAAAAUUCUUUCCUAUUGGUUAAUGGAGAAAUGGCACAGGCUACCUGGAGAGGCUGUGGAGACUCUGACCAAAAAACUUGGCUAGUCAAAGCCAUGACUGAUCUCACCAGUGCUGGCAACAGAUCUGCUUGAAGUGGGAGACUGAACUGAAGACCUCCAGAUGUUCAUUCGCAAUGGCAUUUCUGUGGCUUUAAUGUAGGUUCCCUCUAUCCAUCCAAAGUAGACAAAUGCUCAAAGAUAAGCAGAGAAGGUAUCUGCAGCUUCAUGUCUUGUGCUAAGAAACAGAAAUUUUCCUGGAAUCGUGAAAAGCAGCUUUUCUCAAGUGAACCGUCUGUGAUCUCACUGAAUUGUUGGAGACAGUUAAUUUCAUGCAGCUUGUCAAAACAUAUUCCUCCAGGACGCCAAUUCCAGAAUAGCACUUCUCAAGUACAUCAUCUGGAAACGUCCUUAGCAGCAGUAAGCUUCAGUAGCUUUCAGUCCUUGAAGAGCAGAGUGGUACGCAGGCAGACAGAAAAUUGUGGAGCUCACUGGGGCAGCAAAGUGCAUCAUAUCAUGUCAGAAAGAAGUUCCACCAGGUGAGGGGCAGGAGGGUACAGGAGGGUCCUCUUGUUAUCACAGGCUGGACACAUUCAUGGUGGGAAUUGUAUGCUGGUGAGCAUUUCCGCAGCCCCGUUACAGGGAUUUAGGGAUCUGCUACAAACCUUUUUCAUUCUGAGUCACUAGAUAGUGUUUGUCGGAGAAUGUGUGGAUAAUAGAUGAACAGCAACUAACAUCACCACCGUGUUCUUUCUGACCGUAACAUAACAUUGAAGGAAAUAAGAUUACACGAUGUCCCUGACAAUGGCAGGGGGGGUUGGACUUGAUGAUCGUUAAAGGUCCCUUCCAUCCCAAACCAUUCUGUGAUUCUGUGUGAUUCUGUGAAUGGCUGUACUGAGGGAGAUCAAAGGAACAUGUAGACUCUCACACCUGAGACAUUUGUUGUCAUCCCAGUCUCCCCAGAUACCCACCCUCCACAGGAUGUCCCACCCAUGUGGUGAAGCCUAGAGCACAAAUCACCUCAAGUUGGUGAAAAUGUCUGUGACUGGAGCAAAACCGAAUAAGGCACACCUGGGAAACUGUACUGAAAACAGCAACCUAUUUUUCUAUGUCACUGCCAAUGGGAGAGAGAAAAACAAGUUCCUAUCAUCUCUAUGUGAAGCCUAAGCAGCCUUUGGCCUUCUCAGGUCUGUGACCUACCUGUCGCCCAGCACGGAGCCAGUAAUGCUCACGGGAUACGGCAGACAUCUCCUUUAACAAGGAUCCCCUUGCACACUCUGCUAGUGAGCCGUGGGAGGCUGGAGAGAGCUCAAAGCUGCGGACCUUCUGCUCCAGUAGAAAACCUCCUCCUGUGGGCUGCUGGCCUGGGGAGCAGGCUCAGGUGCCUACUCAGAUAGCAAUGUCUCCUGUACCUGGGACAGGUCUCUUCUGCUGCUCCUCCUCAGGUGAUCAGGGUCCCUGAUGCCCCAGUGGAGAACUGGGAGGUGCUGAGGGCCAUGGGACCAUGAGUAUCUGCAAGGAUGUGCUGCUCCUCUGAGCACACAUCAGAGCUAAGGUGAAAUGAAGUCAGCCCUACAUGUGGUAGGCAAUUACUAGUGAUUAUUCUGCCCCGCUUCAGCCUAACCAGCUUGUUGGGUGACUGGUCUCCAGACCCUCAUAAAACACUGUAAAUAUUCCAUAACAUAGAAUUUAUAUACAUCUGUUCUGGUUUUAUAUACAUGAACAUUUGAUGUGUUACCAACUGUCUCUAAACACUGUCACAUAGGUGACAGACUUGCUGACAAGCAGCUUUUGCUUGGACAUGCUUCUGAAGUUAGGUUCCUCCCAUUUAUAAUGACCAAAUAUGACCUGGUAUCAAAAAAGUUCGAAGAUCUUUGUCUAUCUAUCUGCUGCAUGUAUGAGCAUCUAUUCCCCCAAAAUCUCCAGAGGAAGAACAUCCUGCCUGGUCACUGGUACGAAAGAAACUGAUUGCACAGCAAAGCCAUUCGCUUUCUUUUAUUUGAUAAAACCCUCUCAGACAGGCGUUACAGUACUAGGAUGCUUCCUAACUGAAGACAGUCUGAUGCUGUUUCUGGCUAUCUUGCCCUUGCAUUGCUACCCGUUAGCUGAUAAACAGCACCUGAGGAAAGGGUUUUUUUAAUAAUUUCGAUGCCAGGCAUUGGGACAAGUGUGUUGCUGCAGAGGGAGGUGGAAGUGGCUGAGCUUGUACAGGUAAGUGUAGGAAGAUCACUGACUUUCCAGGCUUGCUGGCGGGAUAGAUGGGGAAAAGCGGUGGCUGUGGUUUCUGGGAGCAGCUAUUUAGCACUACCCACUGCUCUAACAUGCCUACCCACCAUGGUAAUCUCACCUCGCAGAUCUCUGACGUAGGCAAAGCCAUUUUGCUGUGAUCAUUAUUGCAAUUAGUAUCCCCUGUUCCUGAAUACUUUUGACUACAGUGGCUUUUCUUGUUUCACUCCCUUCCUUCCCUUUCCCCAGGUCUUCAGAGAAUUUUAAGCCCAAAUAAUUUGCUUUUCCAGCUGCUAUACAAAACUCAACCUCAGCUUAUUUGAGAGGAUAUGAAACAGCAGCUGUGCAUCCAUCUCCCAGCUGAAAACAACGAGGAUGUGUAAGGCUUGCUCAGCUGUGAGAAAGCCAAAGCAGAAAAAAGGCAUCAUGCAGCGAUAGCCCCAUAAAUCUGAGAGUAAGCAGACAGCCAUAUCAGCCUAGAGCAAAGGUCCAGCUGGUAUUUUGUGCAUGAGUGUACAUUGGAUACUUGGUGAAAAUCCAAUUUCACUUUUUCCAUGCUACUUAUAAUAUUAUGUAAGCAUAUAAUCUUCCCACCUGGUUGUUCCUUUCCCAAAGUGAAAGAUCAUAGUCCGGACAGUUUGUCUCCCCAGUGCUCUGUACCCUUCCUAAUUGCCCAGGCCAAAACUGCAGAUAGCAAGUGGUUUGUGGGCCUGGUGCAAUGAUUUCUGUUUUGUUCUUACUUGAUCCUGAUGAUUCCUGAUACUCUGUUUGCCUUUUGUCGCCACCAGUGAGCACUGACUUGACGUUUGGAGGCAACUAUUCACUAUUCUGGUAACCUUCCUAUCUCCUAAUCCUGGUCCUCCUUUUAGAGACUAAAUUUCUAUAGGGUUUGGUCUAAGUAUGGCUCAGAGUCAUUGUAUGGACAGAGAAGUUGAUGUUCUGUUUCAUCUGCAUAAAGGGUUUCUAUGACUGAUGCCCAUACAGUUUGCCUUACAAGGACAACAUCUUUCUUAGUGGCUUUCAGCGAAAUGACAUUGAGUGAGACUCGAGAGAGGCACAGCCCAGCUAACAGAGCAGUGGGGAGACAGGUCAAGCAGCAAACUUUUAUUUGGGGGUGAGCAGCUCUUCACUGAGUACCAGAGUUGUGCCGUUAUUGAGAGCCCUCGUGUUCCCAGCAGAUAUCAGCGGAAGAGCUGGACGAGGAGGCGACAUUCAGGAUGCCCUUUCUAUCACCCACCAAAGCAGCUGAGGAGCUCCUGUUACAGAGCAGGGGAGUGGGGUGGGCAGGGUAAGACACCUCUGGGUAAGACAAAAAAAAAAGAGAGCAAGUGGCAAGAGGGGGAGGGAAGGGAAGAAAAAUCAGGAUUAGGUGCAUAAUAUUAACACUAGCAACAACUGUAUGCAAAAAAAGAGAGCUAAAAAGAGAGGUGCUGCCUUCCCAGGCUGACGCUCAUCUGCGACAGAUGACCAAAUACCACUUUUGGGCAGAUUUCACUGUUGUAAAUGGAAAUAUACUGGUAUGGACUUUGUAUAAACCUCUUCACUUUAAGCAUUAGACUUUUCCAGGUGAAGACAGCCCACUGGAUUACCACAGGAUUGUCCGAGUGCCAGAGUCACUGCAGUAAAGUUACCAACAGGAUGUGUCAAAGAAUUUUCUAGUGACAUUUUCUGAACUAACUUUUUAUGUUGCAGACAAGUUCCUUUUGCACCCUCAGAAAAUUUGUUAACAGCCUCAUUAUUUCACGUUGGCAGAUAAAUUUCCUUGGUGGUCAGCCUAAACAGUUCCUCAAUUGCUCUCUGCAUCCAUCUGAGAUGCCGAGGGAAGGAUACAAAUCGCUGCUCGUCCUGAAAGACAAAUCAGUUGUGUAAAGCAGAACAGCUCCAGCAGGACACAAUGACAGCGACAUGUCACCAGAGAGCCAGCAACCAGGGUGUUUUACCUCUCAAUCAGGACCGCGGCCUGAAAAAAUACAUGCUAAGUCUGCCUCAGCUCAAGAUGCAGUGCCAACUUCACCCCAUCACUGCUUUGCUGAGCAACACAGGCGUAUGUUGCCUUCCUUCCAAAUCAGUCCCUCAGGUCCCUCAGAGUGUCUGCUGCUCCUCUGAGAAGUGCCUCCAGGUAGCCCGUAUCUCACAGGGUGUCUUCUAGGGUCUCACAGAGACUCAUCCCAUGAUCCCACAUUUCUGCCUGCCCCUUACCUUAGCUAAGCCUGGACUUUACCUCUCCAGGCUCUGAUCCCAAAGCAGGACCACAUUUCUCCAGCAGUGCUGUGCUGACAUGGGGGCUGUGCUGCCGGCAAGGGGCUGGGAGGAGGCAGGGCCUGUAAGGCCUCAGUCAUGAGAGCUUAACAGCAAGGCUCAGAUGAUUCUUCCUCUCCUGGGGCUCCUGACAGGACAUUGAAGUGUGAACUGUUGAAUUUUACUUUACUGACAAAGCGUUUCUUAAGGGGAAUGUUUUCAAACAUUUGCUCUACUUUUACUGGAAUGCUGCAUUUGAACUUAGGAGAUCCCUGGCCUUCCAUAUGGGACAGCAGUUCUAUAUGAGUCCAUCAGCUGCAUCUAUUUUAAACUUUCUCUCAGAGAUGUUCGUUUAUGGCCACGAUGGACUGAUGUUUUUCUCAAGACCUUUGCACAAGCCCUUAUCAGGUGACUGGCAGCCUCACUCCACAGAUAGAGUGUCAAUGCAAAAUGACCCUCAUUCUCCAUAAAGCAGUGAGGAAUUCAUCUUCCUUACAUCAGUGUCCCACUUUGAUCCUGAUAAUCCAGCAGGCUUUAUAGCAGUGGCUGUCAGUGGAGAUUUUUUCCCUCUGCUCCUCCUGCAUGCAUCCUCCCCUGGCUCAAAACUGCUAAUUUGUUCCUUUCCCCAUUACGUAUCUCCCGCCUCCUCCCAGGACAGGCAGGAGAAGCUAGCAUCACUCAGAUGCUUAGCUUCUGCUCCCAUCUUCUCAUUCACAUCUGGGUUGUUUUUUCUUUUUCUUGGAAGAGUCUUCAAAAAACAUACACAUGGGUGGUGGCCACAGGCUGGGCUCACAGAGUGUCAAGGUAGGUCCCUGUGGGGUGGGCCACAGCAGCAGCUCAAAACUUGGGCCACUCUGCACCAUCCCCAUCCACUUACCUCCUGCCAGAAAGAGCAGCAGCUCCUGUGGCCUACCCUGCCUGGGGAGCAGGACGGUGCAGCUGGGGUCUGGCCAUGUCUGGGGGCUUCCAGACUCAAGCUGGGGACUGCCAGAAGUCCCUGAAGUCUUCAGCCCUCUGGGAAGGCACAUCUUUUCACUGCCUCCUCCCAAUACAUCUUGUGGUCCUGGGUUUGGGAAAUGCUGCCUGAGGAUGCCAGCUCCCCACAGCACAGCGCGCGGGCAUGAGCGAUGAGCCGAGUGCCAUGUGCAGUGGUAACGAAACAACAUACCGCCUUACUGUACAGAUUAAAUACAGUAAAAUAUUUCCUCUAAUCUAAAAUUACCUUUACAAAUCUCCCUCGAGGUGAGCUACAAAUUAGAUAGAUUGUCAUUUGCAGAUUAUCAUUGCAGUGUUUCCCAGGAGUUUCUCCUCAGGUUUCUCCUGACUUUUCUUCCCCAAACCUGAUGCUGAGGUGUCAUUUCGUCCACCUCGACAUCCUUUACGAUCUUAUCACUUAUCCCUUUCCCUCACACACAUCCAUCUCACUUUCCUCCUCCCAGACGCCUCCCUGCACUCCCCAGCACUAUUUCAGCCCUACCUCAGCACUGGGAUUGCUCUUAUUCCCACCCUCUCUCACUUAUCAGAUUAUUAAUUUUUUUCUGCAACAAGAGUCACAUGAAGGCGAGUUCAGCUGCCUGCAUCACAGUUAAAGCACUGGGGCCCCAGUUCUGCAUUUGACCUGAACGUGUCCAUUGGCUGCUCCUGCUCCACUUGGCUGACAAAGGGUACAUGGCUUUCUGCAAUGCUGCUGGUUCUGGAGCAAGCUUGGAGCAAGCCUUGCCUCUGUCUUCCUCACCAGGGAAGGGAUUGGUGGAUGGAGGCCUCUUGCUGAUAAGCAAAAAAUAGGCUUUCAGGUCCACAGGCAUUGCUUUAAUUUGUUGGUGCCCAAGAGAAGUGACGUUCCCCUGCACCACAAACUGAGCCCCAGCUGAGCGCUGGAAGUACCUGGGCAGCUGCUGUGCUCCCUGUGGGACAGCACGUCCCAGGAGGCCACAGCGAGCACCCAGACGCUGGGUUGGCACAGCAUCAUUCCACAGACGUCAGAGGGGCCGCUCCUGAUUUAUGGUCUUACCAGGGAGAGCACACUCGGGCCUGCUUCUGAUCUUUAACAUUUCAGCUGAGAAAGGGGCUGUGCCGGAGCAAGUCUCUCUCGGGUAAGAAUAGCAUCUGCCAUCUUAGGACGCAACACAGUUGUCCCGCUCCUACGUGGCAGCACAUUGCGCUGAGAUAUAGAAGGCAACCUACCCGCCCAGGAAUGUCUUCGAGCGCUAUUAGUGGAAGCGUAUCAGCUACACAAACAGGCAUGACCCCGCACAGGAGUCUUGCAAGAGCGGGGCUAUUUUGAGCUUCUGACAGUGAGGAUGAAGGCAGACAAAUGAGGGGCUGAUCCUCCCGGCAUGGGCAACCUCCAAAACUCUCUGCGGCCUUGUCUCCUCCUCUGGGAAUCACUUGUGUGAAGGCUGAUGGGCGAUUUGGUGGGACCUCAGAGCCCAGGAGGCAGGGGCCAGGAAGGAGCUGUGAAUGUGGGGGGACGCAAGGCUAGGCCUCAGUCCCACCACACGGCCCACCGUGCUGAUGGCAAGUCCUGCCUGAGGCUGUGCACCUGUCCCCAAGCUUAGGGCACACAGCUGCCUGCUUUAUUUUUGACUGCAUCCGUGAGAGCUAGAGAGAUACCAGAGGUGUGUAACUGCGUGCAAGGGAAACACAAAUCCUUUUCAUCCAGGAGGGUAUUCUCUUGCCACCUGAAGCUCUCUGUCUCUGAGGGGUUCUUUGGUAUCAUGGAUGUCUGAAAUGCCUCUUUUCCUCUUCUUCCCAGCCAUUUCAAAUCUCCUCCCCAACUA